GACGAACGCUGGCGGCGUGCUUAACACAUGCAAGUCGAACGGAAAGGCCUGUCCUUCCUUGUGUUGGACGGGUACUCGAGUGGCGAACGGGUGAGUAACACGUGAGUGAUCUGCCCCCAACUUGGGUAUAAGCCUGGGAAACUGGGUCCAAUCCCCGAUAGGACUGCAGGGUGGUGCCUGUGGUGGAAAACGAUUUUCUAGUGGUUGGGGAUGAGCUCGCGGCCUAUCAGCUUGUUGGCGGGGUAAUGGCCUACGAAGGCGGCGACGGGUAGCCGGCCGGAGAGGGUGGACGGCCACAUUGAGACUGAGUUACGGCCCAGACUCGAACGGGAGGCAGCAGUGGGGAAUAUUGGACAAUGGGCGGAAUCCUGAUGCAGCGACGCCGCGUAGGGGAUGACGGCCUUCGGGUGGUAAACUCCUUUCGACCGCGAGGAAGCCGCCUGGUUGGAAGGGUGGUGACGGUAGUGGUAGAAGAAGCACCGGCUAACUACGUG
This 494-nucleotide ribosomal RNA is filed under the name uncultured bacterium. Its description in RNAcentral is "partial 16S ribosomal RNA". It matches the Rfam family "Bacterial small subunit ribosomal RNA", at positions 28 to 507 of the family's 1533-position model. The record is from RNAcentral.